This 170-nucleotide ribosomal RNA is filed under the name Cronobacter dublinensis. Its description in RNAcentral is "partial 16S ribosomal RNA". It matches the Rfam family "Bacterial small subunit ribosomal RNA", at positions 1 to 166 of the family's 1533-position model. The record is from RNAcentral. Lineage: Bacteria; Pseudomonadati; Pseudomonadota; Gammaproteobacteria; Enterobacterales; Enterobacteriaceae.
UAAUUGAAGAGUUUGAUCAUGGCUCAGAUUGAACGCUGGCGGCAGGCCUAACACAUGCAAGUCGAGCGGUAACACAGGGAGCUUGCUCCCGGGUGACGAGCGGCGGACGGGUGAGUAAUGUCUGGGAAACUGCCUGAUGGAGGGGGAUAACUACUGGAAACGGUAGCUAA